UCGUCUAUUGCUGAAAUAUGCUAUUCCCGCUUUCGUUGAUGUAUGUGCUGUCUUGCUUCUCAACUGCAAAUCCACUGCAGCAUCACACGUAUCUCCAUCCUUUUGACACCAGGAUAUUUAAAAAAUAUUAUUUAAUAGAAAAGAGAAAACUAUGAAGAACUCGAUUCGGAUGCAUGUAAAAAGUACAGUGGGUGAUAAAUUUCUAAUAGACUCUAGUUAAGAAAGGCAUCAAAUGGGGUUGAUUUUAAAAUUUAUAUUUAAAUUAGAAAAAUGAUUUUAAUGCAACAAGAAACGUACAUAUCUCCCGUAUGGAUUGCUUCUUUUAGGAGUUUUUAUAGAAAAAUGUACUGUAACGAUUUUUUAUAUAUAUAAAGUAAAAAGUUAAUUAAAAAUUGUGUUUACGAAAAAUGUAAAAAUUUUGUUGCGUAAAAUCACAUUCCAAACAAGGUAAAUCGUCUGCAUUCGCAUGACAAAUUUGGGGUGAAUUAGGUGCAUUAUGAUGUCAGCAUAGCCCAAAAAUGGUUUAAGAAGAGAAGAAAAAGAAAGUUGUUUAGUUCAUCAAAAGAGGGAAGAAACUCAACUAUUAUUGGCAAUUUAACCGUGUAUUGAUUUAACCAUUCUCAACGUUUUCAAGACAAAUUAUACUGAACUAUAUCUGCUAAUAAGUUACAAUAGCUAAAUUGGUCAGUGAUCCUUACCAAGAUAAAAAGAAGCACGUAUUUGUCGGAUCUUCAGAAAAUAACUCUUCAAUUAGUUUUGCUAGAAAUACUUAAUAGUAAGAUAAACUCUCAAGUGCCCAAAAAAAAAAAAAGAAUAACUUUUCCGCUAUACUGAAAAACAAAUAAGAUUUACAAAAUAAAUGCAUAAAAGAGUAAAAUCGAUAUUCUCUAAUAAUAAACUAUUUGUACUAUAAAUGUUAAUUAUUGAUUUUUUUUUUUUGCUUUACCGAAUUUAUUAAAACGUAUGCAAUGUGACGGAUUGGUUGCUUUUGGAUGUCUUUUUUGCGUAACGAUUUAGUCGUGCAAGCUGUAACAGCACAUCAGCAAGCCAUCCCAGUCUGUAAUAAUAAAACUCUUUUGCUGGCCACAAGCAAUUGAUCCAUUUGUCCCAAAAUAGAAGAAGUUCCAGAUAAGGCAUAAAGAUAAGAAGUUCCAGAUAAGGCACAAAUAUAAAGGAACUUCUUUUUUUUUUUUUGAUAAUUUCAGAAACCUCCCCUAAGAUUUCUGAUAAUUUCAUUGAGCUCCUCUAUAAUUUGGAAAAUUACACUUAACUCCCUUAAUUUGAUAGUUUUAAUAACAAAACCUUAAAAUAAUAUUGAUUUGGUCAAUUUUUUAAAUGAAUACCCAAAAAUGCUCUUGUGUAAUGAGUUUUAAUUUAUUUUUCUAUAUAAUUAUAAGAUUAUUUAGUAUAAUUAUAAGGAAAAGGUACCAAAUUUUUCAUGUCCAUAACUACUAUAAACAACUAUAAUAAUAGUUUUAUUGCUAUGAUAUAAUACUUUUAAUGGUAUCUUAUUAUGAAUUUAGAUAUAUAAGAUAGAAAAGAAAAUGUUGAAAUAAUUCAUUUAGAUUUUAUAAAUUUUUAGAGUAGCAGGAUUAUCAUAAUUUAGUAGUGCCUUUGGACCCUUUCUUUUUUAUUUAUUAUUAAUUUUAAUACCAAAAUAUAGAAAACAAAGAUCAGCAAAAAUAUUGGAUAACAUAUAAAAUUAACUCGUCAAAAAAAAUUAUUAGUCCGACAUUUAGUUAUAAUAGAAACUAGAGGCAAUAAUAGUAGUUCUAUAGUUUUAUUGGUGAAAAAUUAAAAAAAAAAGGAAUAAGAAGGAAAAAAUAAUUUUAAAACUCAUUCUAAGUAUUAGUAUACCAAAUAAAGGAAUUUCACUAAAAUAUUUAAGAGUAAAAUUGUCAUUUUAAAUAAUAAGGGAGGUAUGUGUAAUUUUUUAAACUUUAAGGGAGUUCACUGGCAUUAUAGAAACCUCAAGGGGAGGUUUCUAAAAUUAUCCCUUCUCACAAGCUAGUCGUGUUAUCCACAAUUCUUGGAAGGAAGGAUACCUUAACCAUUUGAGACUCCAAAGUCCCUUUUUGGGUGCUCCACCGCCAACGUCUUCAUCACCUAAAGGAAACGCGUGUAAAGUGUAAACGUUGACACAGGUACCAAAUUUGUGAAAAAGAAAAUAAAAAAUGCGUCAAAGUCCUAGUCAUCCAUCCCACGGUUUGCACGCAGGUGUUAAUUGUCAGACACGGCAGCACGUUUGUGCUUUCGUCUGGUCGGUUGUUGUACACUUGUGCUUGCAACCUUUUGAAGUAUCCGUUUGGAUUGGGAGUUCAUACACUUUUUCGUUAGAGUAAUGCACUUCAAAAAAUACUCUAAAUACAAUUUCAAAUAUAUCUAAUAAAACUGCUUUAAAAAAAAAAAUUUACCACCUUUUCCUUUCUUCGUUCACGAUCGGUCUAUGUCUCCGGUCCUCCUCUUUCCACUUCUCUUCUCUUUCCUUCUUUUUUUCCUUCUUUUUUCCAUGCUCCUUUCUCGUCCUCUCUUUAGCGCCACCCUUGAUACCUCCAUCAACCCCACCUUCACUGUACGUAUCACUUCCUACUCUUUUCCUCCUUCAUUCGCUUUCUCCCUCCCUCCCCUCUCUUCUUCCCCUCCUUCGCACUCAUUCCCUUCCCUACUCGCGACUAGAUCUAGUUGCGAUGACUCGAUUUGAUUUUGACCAAUUUAAAAGGAAUAUGGAGAAGACAGGAGAAAGUGGAUGUGGGGAGGGACGCAAUAUUGUUUGUUAGUGGUAGUUUGAGGAAGGGACGGGGAGGAGUGAUAGGUGGUUGUCAUUGGGGAGAAAACGAAAUUU
RNAcentral lists this long non-coding RNA (2842 nucleotides) under Coffea arabica (coffee). RNAcentral describes it as "long non-coding RNA (CARA_LNC004249)". The record is from RNAcentral. Lineage: Eukaryota; Viridiplantae; Streptophyta; Magnoliopsida; Gentianales; Rubiaceae.